Molecule: transfer RNA, 57 nt
Filed under: Oribatula sp. XFX
Lineage: Eukaryota; Metazoa; Arthropoda; Arachnida; Sarcoptiformes; Oribatulidae
Description: tRNA-Ile
Source: RNAcentral
UUGGGAAUGCCUGACCAAAAGGGUUAUUUUGAUAGAAUAAAAAACUUUCAACCCGAU